AAUAACAAUUUAGAUAACGACUCACCAGA
RNAcentral lists this small RNA (29 nucleotides) under Bombyx mori (domestic silkworm). RNAcentral describes it as "ovarian small RNA-10733". The record is from RNAcentral. Lineage: Eukaryota; Metazoa; Arthropoda; Insecta; Lepidoptera; Bombycidae.